This 67-nucleotide small RNA is filed under the name Salmonella enterica. RNAcentral describes it as "Hfq binding sRNA". It matches the Rfam family "STnc490 Hfq binding RNA", at positions 1 to 67 of the family's 124-position model. RNAcentral also lists the same sequence under 1 other name. The record is from RNAcentral. Lineage: Bacteria; Pseudomonadati; Pseudomonadota; Gammaproteobacteria; Enterobacterales; Enterobacteriaceae.
AACCCCCAGCUAGGCUGGGGGUUCCGGAAAGCUUUCAGCUUUAAGCCAGUUAUUAAAACCCCUUUUG